UUAAGCAUAUCACUAAGCGGAGGAAAAGAAACUAACAAGGAUUCCCUUAGUAACGGCGAGUGAACAGGGAUAAGCCCAGCACCGAAGCCUGUGGUUAUUUGAUCAUUAGGCAAUGUGGUGUUCAGGUCGUUCCGCAGAGGCACUGCUCCAUUCUAAGUCCAGCAAUGAGUACGGUAUUGCAGACAUGGCCCAAAGAGGGUGAAAGGCCCGUAAGAGUGGAGUUGCAGAAAUGCCAGUGCUUUUCUGGAUAGACCUUGGAGUCGGGUUGUUUGUGAAUGCAGCCCAAAGUGGGUGGUAAACUCCAUCCAAGGCUAAAUACUUGCACGAGUCCGAUAGCGAACAAGUACCGUGAGGGAAAGUUGAAAAGUACUUUGAAGAGAGAGUAAACAGUGCGUGAAACCGCUCAGAGGUAAACGGGUGGAGUUGAACUGGAAACCUUGGGAAUUCAGCUGGUGAACGUGGUUUGAGCUUGGUCAAGCUGGUUGAACUCUGGGGUCUGUGUAGUAGCAGGUCUGUACCUUCGGGUAUGGAUGCGCGAUGCACUUAUCAAGUGUUGUGCGCCCUGGAUGUGUUCGAGCCUGUUCGCCGGUGCAUUUUCUCUUGGUGUUCACCACGACCGGCAUUGUUGCCUGGCUGUUGUGGUUAAACCGGUCUUGCUUUGUCCUUGUGGCUUUGCUUGAUCGGGAUGGCAGGUAGCUCGUGGCUGGUCUGGGGAAACCUGGACAUUGGUCUUCGGGUGUAAUCAGCUGACCAUGAUGGUUCUGUGCGAUGUGUCGGAGACGGCGGCUUGUUGUGUGAGCGCGCGUGCCUAGCUGGCUGGGUUGUUCGGGUUUGGUUGCUGUGUUGCUUGUUCUGCAGGCCCGGCGAUAGCCUGGAUGUGCCCGGUAGGCGGUGGCGUGUGUGACACUAUACAGGGCCUAUAGUCUGUGGUGUUGCGGUAGACUAUCCACCUGACCCGUCUUGAAACACGGACCAAGGAGAGUAACAUGUGUGCGAGUCAUUGGGCGUAACGAAACCCACAGGCGCAGUGAAAGUAAAGGUCUGGCUUGUCCGGACUGAGGUGAGAUCCUGUCGUGUCUUACGCGCGGUACCACCAAGCAUUGAACGUCAGGCGCAUCACCGGCCCGUCCCAUGACGUAGUCAUUUCUGGUGCAUCGUCGGGGCGGAGCAUGAGCAUACAUGUUGAGACCCGAAAGAUGGUGAACUAUGCUUGCGCAGGUUGAAGCCAGAGGAAACUCUGGUGGAGGACCGUAGCGAUUCUGACGUGCAAAUCGAUCGUCAAACGUGAGUAUAGGGGCGAAAGACUAAUCGAACCAUCUAGUAGCUGGUUCCCUCC
This 1336-nucleotide ribosomal RNA is filed under the name Austroholorchis sprenti. Its description in RNAcentral is "eukaryotic LSU rRNA". It matches the Rfam family "Eukaryotic large subunit ribosomal RNA", at positions 34 to 962 of the family's 3401-position model. The record is from RNAcentral. Lineage: Eukaryota; Metazoa; Platyhelminthes; Trematoda; Plagiorchiida; Lepocreadiidae.